Molecule: ribosomal RNA, 454 nt
Filed under: uncultured bacterium
Lineage: Bacteria
Description: bacterial SSU rRNA
Rfam family: Bacterial small subunit ribosomal RNA
Source: RNAcentral
UACGGAAGGCAGCAGUGGGGAAUAUUGCACAAUGGGCGAAAGCCUGAUGCAGCUAUGCCGCGUGUAUGAAGAAGGCCUUAGGGUUGUAAAGUACUUUCAUCGGGGAGGAAAAACAAAACUAAUAAUUUUAUUUCUUGACGUUACCCGAAAAAGAAGCACCGGCUAACUCCGUGCCAGCAGCCGCGGUAAUACGGAGGGUGCUAGCGUUAAUCAGAAUUACUGGGCGUAAAGAGCACGUAGGUGGUUUUUUUAAGUCAGAUGUGAAAUCCCUGGGCUUAACCUAGGAACUGCAUUUUGAAACUGAAAUACUAGAGUAUCGUAGAGGGAGGUAGAAUUCUAGGUGUAGCGGUGAAAUGCGUAGAUAUCUGGAGGAAUACCUGUGGCGAAAGCGGCCUCCUAAACGAAUACUGACACUGAGGUGCGAAAGCUGGGGAGCAAACAGGGAUUAGAUACC